RNA transcript from Mus musculus (house mouse), 2347 nucleotides. It is a transcript of the gene named trypsin domain containing 1, with no coding region annotated. The record is from RefSeq and is marked reviewed. Lineage: Eukaryota; Metazoa; Chordata; Mammalia; Rodentia; Muridae. The transcript has 4 exons.
AGGAGGCCUGAGUCAGAGUUUGCGCCAGUCGCCCUGUGGUGACAGCCGUUGUGCGACGUCUUGGGGAAGCCAUGGGGCGGCAAUGGGGACCCUCUAUGAGAGUGGCGGAGCAGGCGGGCUGCGUGGUGAGCGCCUCGCGGGCCGGACAGCCUGACGCGGGCUCGUGGAGCUGCAGCGGGGUGAUUCUGAGCCGUAACCCAGGCCUAGUGCUGUGCCACGGAGGCAUCUUUACCCCCUUCCUGCGGACGGGCAGCGCGGCGCUGACCCAGACGGGCACCGCCUUCCUGCCGGGCGACAGUUGCAGCGAUGACCUACGUCUCCACGUGCAGUGGGGACCCACGGCUGCCAGCCCUGCCGGUCGCGCGGAUCAGGAACUCCCGGGGCUGUGCACGCCUCAGUGCGCAAGCCUGGGCCUCGAACCCGGCGCCCCGAGCCGGGCCCGCGCGCGGCCUCUGCAGCCCCCGCGACCAGCGCAGCUGCUGUUGCUGCUCAGCUGCCCGGCCUUCCGCUCGCAUUUCGCUCGGCUCUUCGGGGCCGAUGCGGUCGAUCAAUGGCACUUCGUAAGCUCGGCGCCCGACGAUGCGGUUUCGGAGGAGGAAGAGGAGGACCAGCUGCGCGCGCUCGGCUGGUUCGCCCUGCUGCGGGUGCAGCGGGGCGCGGCGGCGGAGGAGAGGCGCGGACCGGUGGUGACCGUGGCACCGCUCGGGGCCGUGGUCAAGGGCGCACCGCUGUUGGCUUGUGGCUCUCCGUUCGGUGCCUUCUGCCCGGACAUCUUCCUCAACACGCUGAGCCGCGGCGUGCUCAGCAACGCGGCCGGGCCGCUGCUGCUCACCGACGCGCGCUGCCUGCCGGGCACGGAAGGCGGCGGAGUGUUCGCCGCUCGACCUGCGGGUGCGCUGGUGGCUCUGGUGGCCGCGCCGCUCUGCUGGAAGGCCCGCGAGUGGGUGGGCCUCACGCUGCUGUGCGCCGCCGCCCCGCUGCUUCAGGUUGCCCGCUGGGCGCUCGCCCGUCUGCACCCCGGCUCCGCUUCCCUGUCUGUGCUGCUGCCGCCACCCGAUGUGAGCACGCCACGGGGCCUGCCUCUGCGCGAUCUCGGACCCCCGUGGGCGGCCGCGGCGGUGCUGGUGGAGUGUGGUACCGUGUGGGGCUCCGGAGUGGUCGUGGCGCCUCGCCUGGUGGUCACCUGUCGCCAUGUGGCACCCCGGGAAGCAGCCAGGGUGUUGGUACACUCCGCUACACCCAAUGCUAAGACAACAGAAGGCUAGCUUGUCAAUUGUUUCCUGUGUCCCCAGGAAUGUGGCAAUCUGGGGACAAGUGGUGUUUGCCACUCAGGAGACCUCUCCAUAUGACAUAGCAGUGGUGAGCCUGGAAGAGGAGCUGAAUGGUGUUCCCACGCCUGUCCCUGCUGGGCACUUCCAUGAAGGCGAGCCUGUCAGCGUGGUGGGCUUUGGUGUCUUUGGCCAGGCCUGCGGGCCCUCGGUGACCUCAGGCAUCCUGUCGGCCGUGGUGCGUGUGGAUGGCAGCCCGGUGAUGCUACAGACCACGUGCGCUGUGCAUGGCGGCUCCAGCGGAGGACCUCUCUUCUCCUCGGGCUCCGGGGACCUCCUGGGCAUUGUCGCCAGCAACACUCGAGACAACAACACGGGAGCCACCUACCCACACCUGAACUUCAGCAUCCCCAUCACGGUGCUCCAGCCAGCCCUGAAGCAGUACAGUCAGACUGGUGACCUGGGUGGCCUCCGAGAGCUGGACCACACCACUGAGCCGGUCAGGGUCGUGUGGCGGCUGCAGCGGCCCCUGUCCGAAGUCCCACGGAGCAAGCUCUGAAGCUACUGUGCCUCCCUGGGAGAAAGCGGACCACUUUAAGGCCACGGGAAGUGUAUUGGCAUGGCAACUUUGACAUCUAAGUCAUCUGCUGGGAUAGAGCCCAAGCCACCCCCUCAUCGUCUUCACCCACUGGCUAACCACGUGCAACUUCUGUAGGUCUCUGAUCUACUUUGGGGUGCUUUCUUGAGCCUGUCUCAUCUGUUUCCCAGGAUUAGACUCAGCAACGCCAUUGUUCCUUCUGGGGGUUCUAGUCCUUUGGCGGGUACCGGUUUGGCAUCUCUCAGCCUGAUAGCCCCUGGUCCACCCGAAGUGGCUCUUGCCUGAUACACUCUACUCAGAGAACUCUUCCUGGAAGCCCAGAGUCCUAGUGGUCAGUAACAAGAGUGUCUUCCCAUUGCCACAGUGAUACACAGGCAAAUCCCCGAGAGCCACCUGGGCCUUAACUCAGACACGGUGCCUUCAUUUUUGUAGCCCAGAGCAGUUGGAGCUGGGGAAUAAACAAUCUGAAUGGCUUGACCUC